This 324-nucleotide ribosomal RNA is filed under the name uncultured Verrucomicrobiota bacterium. RNAcentral's name for it is "bacterial SSU rRNA". It matches the Rfam family "Bacterial small subunit ribosomal RNA", at positions 488 to 810 of the family's 1533-position model. Lineage: Bacteria; Pseudomonadati; Verrucomicrobiota. The record is from RNAcentral.
AAGCACCGGCUAACUCUGUGCCAGCAGCCGCGGUAAUACAGAGGGUGCAAACGUUGUUCGGAAUUACUGGGCAUAAAGCGCGCGUAGGCGGCGACGUAAGUGUAGGGUGAAAUCCCACGGCUCACCCGUGUGAAUUGCCCCGCAUACUGCGUUGCUUGAGUGUGGUAGGGGAGAGCGGAACUCCUGGUGGAGCGGUGAAAUGCGUAGAUAUCAGGAGGAACACCGGUGGCGUAGGCGGCUCUCUGGUCCAUAACUGACGCUGAAGUGCGAAAGCUAGGGUAGCGAACGGGAUUAGAUACCCCGGUAGUCCUAGCCGUAAACGAU